Molecule: small RNA, 29 nt
Filed under: Bombyx mori (domestic silkworm)
Lineage: Eukaryota; Metazoa; Arthropoda; Insecta; Lepidoptera; Bombycidae
Description: ovarian small RNA-4053
Source: RNAcentral
UUCGUGGUAAAGGCGCCACAAGCGGUUGC